Molecule: non-coding RNA, 1553 nt
Organism: Odocoileus virginianus texanus
Lineage: Eukaryota; Metazoa; Chordata; Mammalia; Artiodactyla; Cervidae
Source: RefSeq, a predicted model, not a curated record
UUAAAAGAUACAAUUUUUGGGGCGGCUCGAACGGCCGGAGUGAGAUGGGUCAAAGUCAGAGUGGUGGUCAUGGUCCUGGAGGUGGCAAGAAGGAUGACAAGGACAAGAAAAAGAAAUAUGAACCUCCUGUACCAACUCGAGUUGGGGAAAAGAAGAAGAAAACAAAGGGACCAGAUGCUGCCAGCAAACUGCCCCUGGUGACACCUCACACUCAGUGCCGGUUAAAAUUACUGAAGCUAGAGAGAAUUAAAGACUAUCUUCUCAUGGAGGAAGAAUUCAUUAGAAAUCAGGAGCAAAUGAAGCCCUUAGAAGAAAAGCGAGAGGAGGAAAGGUCGAAGGUGGAUGACCUGAGGGGGACCCCGAUGUCGGUGGGAACCCUGGAGGAGAUCAUCGACGACUACCACGCCAUCGUGUCGACGUCGGUGGGCUCGGAGCACUACGUCAGCAUCCUCUCGUUUGUAGACAAGGAUCUGUUGGAGCCCGGCUGCUCGGUCCUGCUCAACCACAAGGUGCACGCGGUGAUCGGAGUGCUGAUGGACGACAUGGAUCCCUUGGUCACGGUGAUGAAGGUGGAAAAGGCGCCCCAGGAGACCUGUGCUGAUGUUGGGGGGCUGGACAACCAAAUCCAGGAAAUUAAGGAAUCUGUGGAGCUUCCUCCCACUCAUCCUGAAUAUUAUGAAGAGAUGGGGAUCAAGCCCCCCAAGGGGGUCAUUCUCUACGGCCCGCCCAGCACAGGUAAAACCUUAUUAGCCAAAGCAGUAGCGAACCAAACCUGAGCCACUUUCCUGCGAGUGGUUGGCUCUGAACUUAUUCAGAAGUACCUGGGCGAUGGCCCCAAACUCGUUCGGGAACUGUUUCGAGUUGCUGAAGAACAAGCACCAUCCAUCGUGUUUAUUGAUGAAAUUGAUGCUAUUGGGACAAAAAGGUACGACUCCAACUCGGGUGGGGAGAGAGAGAUUCAGCGCACGAUGCUGGAGCUGCUGAACCAGCUGGACGGGUUUGACUCGAGGGGAGACGUGAAAGUCAUCAUGGCCACAAACCGCAUAGAGACCCUGGACCCGGCCCUCAUCAGACCAGGCCGCAUUGACAGGAAGAUCGAGUUCCCCCUGCCCGAUGAGAAGACCAAGAAGCGCAUCUUCCAGAUCUACACGAGCAGGAUGACACUGGCCAACGACGUGACCCUGGAUGACCUGAUCAUGGCUAAAGAUGACCUCUCUGGUGCCGACAUCAAGGCAAUCUGCACAGAAGCUGGUCUGAUGGCCUUGAGAGAGCGCAGAAUGAAAGUAACAAAUGAAGACUUCAAAAAGUCGAAGGAAAAUGUUCUUUAUAAAAAACAGGAAGGCACCCCGGAGGGGCUCUAUCUGUAGUGGACCAGAGUUAACUUCCAGGAAAGGCUGGGAGGGUCCCGGCCCCUGGGGUGAGGUUGGGAGCUGCCUGGGCCCCAUGUGCCACUGGCCGUGGUUGGCGGAGCGUCCCGCGUCCCUCCCAAGCGCGCAUGUAGGGCCCUGGUGGGCUGCCAGCAUCCCAAUAAAGCAUUCUUUCUCCUAAAAAAA